GGAGGGGGACGAACAGCUGGAAACGGCUGCUGAUACCGCAUAGUCCGCUCUGCCGCAUGGCAGAGCGGGAAAGGCCUUUUGGGGACCGCCGGGGGAUGGACCUGCGGCGCAUUAGCUGGUUGCGGGGCAACGGCCCACCAAGGCGACGAUGCGUAGCCCGACCUGAGAGGGUGGACGGCCACACUGGGACUGAGACACGGCCCAGACUCCUGCGGGAGGCAGCAGUAGGGAAUUUUCGGCAAUGGGGGGAACCCUGACCGAGCAACGCCGCGUGAAGCGAAGAAGGCCUUCGGGUCGUAAAGCUCUGUUAUGAAGGAAGAAUGACCCAUACAGGAAAUGGUAAGGGGAUGACGGUACUUCAUGAGGAAGCCACGGCUAACUACGUGCCAGCCGCCGC
This 397-nucleotide ribosomal RNA is filed under the name uncultured bacterium. Its description in RNAcentral is "bacterial SSU rRNA". It matches the Rfam family "Bacterial small subunit ribosomal RNA", at positions 135 to 518 of the family's 1533-position model. The record is from RNAcentral.